Molecule: long non-coding RNA, 443 nt
Filed under: Zonotrichia albicollis (white-throated sparrow)
Lineage: Eukaryota; Metazoa; Chordata; Aves; Passeriformes; Passerellidae
Description: lncRNA (ENSZALG00000015040.1)
Source: RNAcentral
AUUUGAAUUAAAUUUUAACACUGUUGGAAGAAAGAUGGAAGAAAAUCUUCUUUCUUCACAGGGGAAGCAGAUUUUGCUUCUUAUCAUAAGAAGAACCAAGCAGUGCCUCUGACCUGGGCCAGUGGUCUCCUCUCAGUGGUGGCCAUUCAGACCUCCAAACACAGGGAAUCCAAGUGACUGCUCAGGAAUGGCUGCACUAAGAAUCAUCUGAAACCACCUAGCAAGGGAGUAGCCUCCAACAGUGGCCAUAAACGGAUGCUUAACUAGCAAAGUCAAGAUCAAAUUGUACCAUAUUUUCUCCAAAUGCUGUCCCAGUCUUAAGGGCACUGGCAGCUUGGCUCCCCUUACAAAAACCUCCACAUGUGCAAGAAGCAGAACUCAAGCUGCCUAUCAGAUGUUUUUGACCAGCCUUUUGUCCUCUGCAACUCAGUGGGAAGCAGCAC